This 74-nucleotide transfer RNA is filed under the name Alistipes sp. Its description in RNAcentral is "tRNA-Arg". It matches the Rfam family "tRNA". Rfam says of the family: Transfer RNA (tRNA) molecules are approximately 80 nucleotides in length. Their secondary structure includes four short double-helical elements and three loops (D, anti-codon, and T loops). Further hydrogen bonds mediate the characteristic L-shaped molecular structure. tRNAs have two regions of fundamental functional importance: the anti-codon, which is responsible for specific mRNA codon recognition, and the 3' end, to which the tRNAs corresponding amino acid is attached (by aminoacyl-tRNA synthetases). tRNAs cope with the degeneracy of the genetic code in two manners: having more than one tRNA (with a specific anti-codon) for a particular amino acid; and 'wobble' base-pairing, i.e. permitting non-standard base-pairing at the 3rd anti-codon position. The record is from RNAcentral. Lineage: Bacteria; Pseudomonadati; Bacteroidota; Bacteroidia; Bacteroidales; Rikenellaceae. RNAcentral also lists the same sequence under 1 other name.
GGUUCCGUAGCUCAGUUGGAUAGAGCAACAGCCUUCUAAGCUGUGGGUCGUGGGUUCGAAUCCCGCCGGGAUCA